GAUGAACGCUGGCGGCGUGCCUAAUACAUGCAAGUCGAGCGAACGGACGAGAAGCUUGCUUCUCUGAUGUUAGCGGCGGACGGGUGAGUAACACGUGGAUAACCUACCUAUAAGACCGGGAUAACUUCGGGAAACCGGAGCUAAUACCGGAUAAUAUUUUGAACCGCAUGGUUCAAAAGUGAAAGACGGUCUUGCUGUCACUUAUAGAUGGAUCCGCGCUGCAUUAGCUAGUUGGUAAGGUAACGGCUUACCAAGGCAACGAUGCAUAGCCGACCUGAGAGGGUGAUCGGCCACACUGGAACUGAGACACGGUCCAGACUCCUACGGGAGGCAGCAGUAGGGAAUCUUCCGCAAUGGGCGAAAGCCUGACGGAGCAACGCCGAGUGAGUGAUGAAGGUCUUCGGAUCGUAAAACUCUGUUAUUAGGGAAGAACAUAUGUGUAAGUAACUGUGCACAUCUUGACGGUACCUAAUCAGAAAGCCACGGCUAACUACGUG
Molecule: ribosomal RNA, 497 nt
Filed under: uncultured bacterium
Lineage: Bacteria
Description: partial 16S ribosomal RNA
Rfam family: Bacterial small subunit ribosomal RNA
Source: RNAcentral